GGCGCCAGGGAUUUGAACUGCGCUACGAAGUUUGGUGAUCCAUCUUCUGAGUAUCGCCGGAAUUUCGAAUCGCGAUGAUCAUCCCCUCUCUAGAGGAGCUGGACUCCCUCAAGUACAGUGACCUGCAGAACUUAGCCAAAAGUCUGGGUCUCCGGGCCAACCUGAGGGCAGACAAGUUGUUAAAAGCCUUGAAAGGCCACAUUAAACAUGAGGCAAGAAAAGGAAAUGAUAAUCAGGAUGAAAGUCAAACUUCUGCAUCCUCUUGUGAUGAGACUGAGAUACAGAUCAGCAACCAGGAACAAGCUGAGAGAGAGCCACUUGGCCAUGUCACCAAAACAAGGAGAAGGUGCAAGACUGUCCAUGUGGACCCUGACUCACAGCAGAAUCAUUCAGAGAUAAAAAUAAGUAAUCCCACUGAAUUCCAGAAUCAUGAAAAGCAGGAAAGCCAGGAUCUCAGAGCUACUGCAAAAGUUCCUUCUCCACCAGACGAGCGCCAAGGAGCUGAGAAUGCUGUUUCCUCAGACAGAGUCUUGCUCUGUUGCCCA
This 545-nucleotide small RNA is filed under the name Pongo abelii (Sumatran orangutan). RNAcentral's name for it is "processed transcript". Lineage: Eukaryota; Metazoa; Chordata; Mammalia; Primates; Hominidae. The record is from RNAcentral.